CAAUAGCGUAUAUUAAAGUUGUUGCGGUUAAAAAGCUCGUAGUUGGAUUUCUGCUGAGGACGACCGGUCCGCCCUCCGGGUGAGCAUCUGGUUCGGCCUUGGCAUCUUCUUGGUGAACGUAUCUGCACUUGACUGUGUGGUGCGGUACCCAGGACUUUUACUUUGAGGAAAUUAGAGUGUUUCAAGCAGGCUUACGCUUUGAAUACAUUAGCAUGGAAUAAUAAUAUAGGACUUUGGUUCUAUUUUGUGGUUUCUAGGACUGAAGUAAUGAUUGAUAGGGAUAGUUGGGGGUGCUAGUAUUCAGCGGCCAGAGGUGAAAUUCUUGGAUUCGCUGAAGACUAACUACUGCGAAAGCAUUCACCAAGGAUGUCUUCUUUUAAUCAAGAACGAAAGUUGGGGAUCGAAGACGAUCAGAUACC
RNAcentral lists this ribosomal RNA (419 nucleotides) under uncultured eukaryote. RNAcentral describes it as "bacterial SSU rRNA". It matches the Rfam family "Eukaryotic small subunit ribosomal RNA", at positions 592 to 1016 of the family's 1831-position model. The record is from RNAcentral.